This 444-nucleotide ribosomal RNA is filed under the name Irwiniella oldroydi. Its description in RNAcentral is "partial 16S ribosomal RNA". It matches the Rfam family "Bacterial large subunit ribosomal RNA", at positions 1925 to 2577 of the family's 2925-position model. The record is from RNAcentral. Lineage: Eukaryota; Metazoa; Arthropoda; Insecta; Diptera; Therevidae.
AAAUGGCCGCAGUAUUUUAACUGUGCAAAGGUAGCAUAAUCAUUAGUCUUUUAAUUGAAGGCUUGUAUGAAUGGUUGGACGAAAUAUUAACUGUUUCAUUAAAAUUAAUUUAGAAUUUUAUUUUUUAGUUAAAAAGCUAAAAUUUGUUUAAAAGACGAGAAGACCCUAUAGAUCUUUAUAUUUAAUAUUUUUUUAAGAAUUUAGAUUAUUUAAUUUAUUAAUAUAUUAAAUAUUUUGUUGGGGUGACAUUAAAAUUUAAUUAACUUUUAAUUUUUUUUUUACAUUGAUUUAUGAAUAAAUGAUCCAUUUAUAGUGAUUAAAAAUUUAAGUUACCUUAGGGAUAACAGCGUAAUUUUUUUGAAGAGUUCAUAUCGAUAAAAAAGAUUGCGACCUCGAUGUUGGAUUAAGAUAUAAUUUUGGGUGCAGCAAUUCAUAAAUUAAGUC